GGAUCAUGAAGGUAGUUCAUCCUUAUUGGAUUGAAUGGGCUGCUAAUUGGUUCCUGGAAAUAGCCCUCCUAUAAGAUCGUACCCUAAACCGACACAGGUGGGUAGGUAGAGUAUACUAAGGGGCGCGAGAUAACUCUCUCUAAGGAACUCGGCAAAAUGACUCCGUAACUUCGGGAGAAGGAGUGCCUUAUUUAUAAGGUUGCAAUAACAAGAUCCAAGCAACUGUUUAUCAAAAACACAGGUCUCCGCUAAGUCGUAAGACGAUGUAUGGGGGCUGACGCCUGCCCAGUGCCAGAAGGUUAAAGAAGUUGGUUAGUGUAUGCGAAGCUGAUGACUGAAGCCCUGGUGAACGGCGGCCGUAACAAUAACGGUCCUAAGGUAGCGAAAUUCCUUGUCGGGUAAGUUCCGACCCGCACGAAAGGCGUAAUGAUUUGGAUACUGUCUCGGAGAGAGGCUCGGUGAAAUAGACUUGUCUGUGAAGAUGCGGACUACCUGCACCAGGACAGAAAGACCCUAUGAAGCUUUACUGUAACUUGAAAUUGGAAUUGGACUUUGCUUGCGCAGUAUAGGUGGGAAGCGUUGAAGAUAUUCUUGCGGGAGUAUUGGAGCUAUCAGUGAGAUACCACUCUUGUAAUGUUAGAUUUCUAACUUUGAACCAUAAUCUGGUCAAAGAACAGUUUCAGGUGGGCAGUUUGACUGGGGCGGUCGCCUCCCAAAUGGUAACGGAGGCGUACAAAGGUUUCCUCUGAACGGAUAGAAAUCGUAUCUAGAGUGUAAAGGCAUAAGGAAGCUUGACUGUGAGACCUACAAGUCGAGCAGGGACGAAAGUCGGUCUUAGUGAUCUGACGGUACUGAGUGGAAAGGCCGUCACUCAACGGAUAAAAGUUACUCUAAGGAUAACAGGCUGAUCUCCCCCAAGAGUUCACAUCGACGGGGAGGUUUGGCACCUCGAUGUCGGCUCAUCGCAUCCUGGGGCGGUAGUACGUCCCAAGGGUUGGGCUGUUCGCCCAUGAAAGCGGUACGCGAGCUGGGUUCAGAACGUCGUGAGACAGUUCGGUCCAUAUCCGGUGUAGGCGUUAGAAUAUUGAGAGGAGCCUUCUUUAGUACGAGAGGACCGAGAAGGACACACCGCUGGUGUACCAGUUAUCGUGCCAACGGUAAACGCUGGGUAGCUAUGUGUGGAGUGGAUAACCGCUGAAAGCAUCUAAGUGGGAAGCCCACCUCAAGAUGAGUAUUCUCAUC
RNAcentral lists this ribosomal RNA (1242 nucleotides) under metagenome. Its description in RNAcentral is "bacterial LSU rRNA". It matches the Rfam family "Bacterial large subunit ribosomal RNA", at positions 1555 to 2818 of the family's 2925-position model. The record is from RNAcentral.